Drosophila yakuba is the source of this 820-nucleotide long non-coding RNA. RefSeq lists it as uncharacterized. The transcript is spliced from 2 exons. Lineage: Eukaryota; Metazoa; Arthropoda; Insecta; Diptera; Drosophilidae. The record is from RefSeq and is a predicted model, not a curated record.
UUUAUGGGGUGGCUAUGGUAAAUAUUUACUUUUUCACUUUGAGGUUGUUUAUUUUUGGGGCUAAUAAAUUAGCGCCUUGGACAACUUGUUUGGUUUAUGUGACCCUUUUUGUUAUUGUUGAUUUUCUGCUGUUAUAUAAAUACGGGCAUAAAUAUUGAACAUUUAUCGAAUCGGUCGCAGAGAGGAGAAACAGCAAACGAAUUGUGUAGCCGGUCGAACGACAACUAAAAACAAAAAUUGCUUUGAAUUUUCGAAUUUUGCAUUAAUUUUAUUUUUCUCGCGACCGAGAGUGAGAGCCAUCCAUACAGAGAGAAAAAAACCGAGAGAAACAUGCACUUCAGCUUGGACAACAACACGACCAAUGGCUUCCAAUACGUUGGCCAAUUGUAUUUAUAAUUUUAUUUAUAUAUUUUGCAUACAUUGUUGCUGUAGUCGUUUCUUGAUACAUUUUUUUUCCGCAACUUUCAGUAUUUCUCUCUGAUAAAUUGCUAAGCGCUGUCUGGAACUGGUAGCGCGUGCCAAAUGGCAAAUACUAAUAUGAGGGAACACGGCGAACGGAGGAGCGCACCGAUGGAACUCCUCUCGGAUACGCACAGCAGCCGCACGAGCACUCGUAAGAUACAAAGUUGAAAUUGCAGACAAAUUUAGUGUUUGCCUGGCAGAGGAGCGUCUGCGAAAGUUGAGGAAUUUGUGUACGAAAUGACAAAACGUGAUUCUGCUGUGUAUUUUGAAAUUACUUUGUUGGGAGCUGAAUUUAUGUAACUUAAUUUUUUAAACUUAUAUAAAAGAAUUUGGUCUGGAAUUCAAACUUUUCAGUUUA